AUCUCUAUCACAAAUCAAAACAAAACAAAGUUACAUUUACAUCAAAAAACUAAGACAAUUGGACGAAAUUGGUGGCUUCGAUGUCCUUGCCACAACGCACCCACCCAACCUUGGGUGCCCCAAGAAUGAGGUAGGAGGCACACCCCAUCUCCGGCAGACCGGAGUCUAUUCCUGGUGGAUUAGGAUCGGCUCAUCUCCCCGCCCAAGGCCGAACUCAGACCGUCGCCCAGAUGAGAAGCGGUCAAAGCGGCAACAACAGAAGGGAAAUUUUUAGACGCUUAAAAUUACAAAUUGGAGGCGUUUGCCAACCGGGUCGCCUAAUCCUGAGGAGCUCAAAGGGAAAAGAAGGGACGUGCUGAAAAGGUAAAGUUCAACGUCGGAUGUGGUUGAAGCUGCAGCCAGAAGAGAAAAAUCGCUAGCGGAGAAAACCAGCACGAGUCCGGAGAAUAGCGCAGCGGCUGCGUAAGAGGGGCCGGAGGCAGUGCGUCGGUGGACUUAGAGAUGACCACGUGGUCAGCGCGGGCAUUCGUUCCCGGAACGGACUCACCGAGGCAGUUGCGGGAGCUGCUGACGCUGGAGGCUGCUGCUGCUGCUGCGGCUGAUGCUGCUGAUCGCUGCUGUGGCUAAUGCUGCUGCGGAUGCUGAUCGCUGUUGCUGCUGAGGCUAAUGCUGCUGCUGCGGUUAAUGCUGCUACUGAACCAGGAUCACUGCUGCUGAACCUGGAUCACUGCUGCUGCUGGUGGACGACGUGGUCCUCACGAGUCCGGAGAAUAGCGCAGCGGCUGCGUAAGAGGGGCCGGAGGCAGUGCGUCGGUGGACUAAGAGAUGACCACGUGGUCAGCGCGGGCAUUCGUUCCCGGA
This is a long non-coding RNA of Drosophila gunungcola (fruit fly), 861 nucleotides long. RefSeq lists it as uncharacterized. Lineage: Eukaryota; Metazoa; Arthropoda; Insecta; Diptera; Drosophilidae. The record is from RefSeq and is a predicted model, not a curated record. The transcript has 3 exons.